ACUUCUGCUUUUCACACAAGUGCUAAGGGGUGGGGUUGGGAGAGGGAGAAGUGCCAAUUUGAAUAAAAUAUUUGGGGGGGGAGAGAAAUAGGUCACAUGAUGCGGUGCACGCACCCUAUUUGAAUGACAAUGCCCAUCAACUUUGGGGGGUCCUGGCCCUCUCAAAUAUUUUAGGGGGUGCGCGAAGGGAACUCUGCCCCCAGGAGUUGGCUCCUAGGGUGAGAGGUUCCUUAUGCCCCCCUACAUCAGGUGUGGGGUAUCUGUGGUCCUUGAGAUGUUGCUGAACUACAAUUUCCAUCAUCUCUGGCCAUUGGUGAGAGGUUCCUUAUCUGGACCUCCUGUGUUUUUAAUAGGAACUGGACGCAGAACAGAAGGGAGGCAUUUGGUGGUUUAUCAAAUGUUUGCCCGAACCUCUUUCCUGGGUUACUUCUACUGUGCACAACAUGCAUAAAUGUAAGAAACAUUCAUAACAAAUAUAAGUCUUAACAUGCGGAAUGCUGCUGAAAAUGGCAGUUGGUGUCAAAUAGGACUUUAGCAAGUGGGGCUUGCUAAAAAAACGACCUUCCAAGACAUUUGUAGCGGCCAGGUGGGCCAAAUUAGGCCCAUGGGCCGGAGAUUCCCCUAUGCUGCCAUAGCUCACAACCAGUGACAUCCUACCCUAUUGUGACUGAAUGUGCAGGCAAGUUAGGUAGUACUUCAGGUGGAAUCCCCAUGCCUUCCAACAACCACAUUGUGGGCAUAUGUUCAGCAGGUGCCAUUUUUCCUGACAUGGAGAUGCAGGGAUGGGGCCACUGCACCAAAUGAAUUUCUGUAUGCCAUGUAGAUAUUAAAGUUACAGGAAGAUUGCAAUCGAAAGGUAGCAAGUUUGGGAGUAUUUCAUUUCUAAAAUAAAACAUGGAUACCUCUCCUCCUAAAUCCCAGAUGUAUGGAAGCUGAGUGCAGUUAUUUAGUAACAUAAGGAAAAUGUUCCCUGCCCAUGUUCUACAUUAUUAUUAUUUAUUACAUUUGGAUACCACCCUUUAGCUGUAGAUCUCCGAGAAGUUCCCAACACAAAACUACAAUAUAAAAACCCCCACAAAAUACAUAAUAAAAACAGAAACAACCCAAUAAUCACCUCUUCCACAACACAUCCAAAAGGGCAUUGGAUGACAAUCAGCCCAAGGCCUGGUUGAAGGUGAACAUUUUUGCCUGGUGCCUAAAGGCAAUGUAAGAGAGAGCAGUCCAUAACUGGGGAGCCACUGCAGAAAAGGCCAAUUCUUGUUUUGCCUCGUCAUCAUUACUCCCGGAGGCCAGGAACUGGAACUGAUAAUAGUUUCUAGCUAGGGUUGCCAUAUGUCCACUUUUUCCAGGACACAUUCUCUUUUUCAUGAUGAGAGUCAUAGAGAUCCAUAGUUAAAAGUAUAAGUCGGCAAAUGUGUCUUCUUUUUUGCUCUUCAAAAUAUGGCAACCCUAUCUAGCUCAAGAGAGCAUAAUGAAGGAAUGUUAUGCAGAGUUUCACUUUUAUCCAUGAAAGUUUAAGGCAUGAAAGACUGCUUGGGACUGAGGCCUCUUUUUUCUUCCAAACUGAAGUUUAUUUUCUAACAGAAGCCAUGAUUUUAUAUUUCCACACGCAUCUAUAAUCCCAAGACUUAUAGCUAAAUUAAAUCAUAUCUCUCCCUAAAUAAAGACGUUGAAGUAUAGACAUGAUGGUACAGCAUGCAUUCAGAAUCUCACUGAGGUCAACAUUAGGCACAUAGAUAAUAACACAUUUGCUUAGUGAAAACUAUAGCUUACCAGAGACUCACUUAUAACUUGUAGAGUUGCUACUGUUAAGAAUUGCAUGAGAGGCAGAAAUCAACAGAUGUAUCUUUUUCCAUCCAUAUAUCCAUGCCAGGAAGGACUUUAUGUAUUGAUUUCUGCCUGCCUAUAGUAACUUAAGGUUAGGGAAAUUCUUUUCCAUAAAAAGACAGUAGUUCUAAAUACCUCAAGGACCACCUCUCACAAUGUGAACAGACCCAGACCCUGCGCUCCUUCUCUGAGGCCCUUCUUUGGGUGCCUUCUCCACAAGAGGUGUGCAGGGUGGCAACACAAGAACAGUCCUUUUGUGCGGUGACUUCCCAUUUGUGGAAUGCUGUCCCCAGGGAGGUGUGCCUGGCACCAUCAUUAUAUAUCUUUAGAUACCAGGCCUUUGGCUUUUGACUAUCUGUGGCUUUUAAAAGUGAUUGGGAUGUGUUUAAUGCUUUUAUCUUUUCCCUUGGUUUUAAUGUAUGUGAGAUUUAUUGUAUGUGUGUUUGGUUGUAAAUUGUUUUGGGUUGCCCUAGGCAAGAUAAAGCAACUGAGAAAAUAAAUAAUAAAUAAAUAAAUAAAUAAAUAAAGAAUGAAUGAAUGAAUAAAGGCAACUUCACAUAAAGCAGAAAAUAGCAACACACAUAAUCAUAUUUACUUGCAAUUUAUUUUUUUACCUGCAAACUCUAUAUUGAUUAAAUAAUAAAUAUGCACAGAUAGAGUUGUAUGAUACAGUUUGUUUAUGACACUAUUAAGUUAAUUCCAUCAGACUAUUGUAAUGAUCAAACUGUUUGUUUUGACUACUUGAUGACCAGGUUUCCUUUUUGUGGUAUGGUUUAGCAUAAAUGUUAAAGUGCAUCAUAACAACAGGCUUCAAAGCUCUGUGUUGCUAAGUCCUUUUUUUUUGUUUUUUGCUCCCACAUCGUGCAAGUCUUUAAGGUUCCACCGUGCCCUUCGUUGUUUUUGCUAAAAUGGACUGACAUGGCUAUGCUUCUGGGAAAUGUGCAGGCUUGAUUACUGUAAACCAAAGUGUGACAGCUACAAGUUUCAUGAAUUCCCAACAAGCUGCUGCUCUAAAGUAAAAAAUAAGGAUUCAUCUGAGACAGUAAGUUGCAGACGUACAAAAAUGUUGGCAAGCUAGGAAACUGCAAAUCCUGCUCCACAGCAAAGCAUUCCUUAAAUGUGUGACAAGGUAAAAGGAGUGAAAUGAUUAAUCUGCACAUCUCGCAUGCAGUAUUCACCAAAAGAGAUGUUAUUGUUCCCAAAUGCCCGUUAAAAUCAAAGAUAACUCUGGACUGCUUACCAUCGUUAUUUUCAUGAUGACUCCAUUUUAAGUUGUAGUAAUUCUUCCUUGUGAAAGAUAUAAUGCUGAUAUUGAACUCACCUUCUAAUCAGUGUUACAAGAACCCAAAGAAUGUACAGUCUUCAACACCGGUAAGUUUCUACAACUGUCAAAGCCACUACUUGUGGAGGGUGUGUGUGUUUGUGGGAUUACAUUAUAAUGCAUAUUACUGUACAAAUUAUUACACUUAUUCAAUUACCAUAGUCACUCGAAUCUAAUGUGCCAUCGAAUCUAAUGCACACCUCAAUUUUCAUAACUUUGAAACAAAACAAAAUUAUUUGCUGGUGAACGUAAAUGUGGCAUUGAAUCUAAUACACACCUUAAUUUUUGCAAUGUAAUUUGGCCAAAAAAAGUGAGCAUUAGAUUCGAGUAAAUACAGUAUUAAUGAUAUACUUUUGCUCCUAUUUAAGGACUUCUUUAAAACAAUUCAAUGUCACAUUUACUCUUACUGUUAUUCAGAAAGCAACUGCAUACCAAGAGAUUAGUCAUCAUCUUUCAGUGGUCUCUGAAUCUGCUGCAUACAUUUAAUCAUAAUCAUAAGAAAUAGUAGGUAAAGCAGAAUAGGGUUCAUAUGAUUUUUAUUAAGUGGUCACGAGAACACCAUAGUCACUGUCAAAAUAGCAUCUUUAGCAUGCACUCUCUGACUAUACCAGAAAGGUCCUGGAUUGCAAUUUACUGAUAGGGAAUUAAGGGUUAUGGAUCUCUUGGGGGAAAACAAAUAAAUGGGAUUUCAGUGUAUCAGGAGAAAGCUGCUAGAAUCACAGAGAGAGCUGCCCUGUGUGGUGAGCAAGUGACCUGUCAAAUGGCAGCUUUCGGUGAGGUACCCUCUGGUCCUGUACUGAGUCUCCCCACUCAGGCUAGCCAUUGGAUCCUUCUGGACAGGAGGGAAAAUUAGAUUCCUACUUGAGGAAUGAAGUCUUUCUGAAUGGCAGAAUAUUAUUGUAUCCUUAGCCCUGUCUCCCAGUUUGUCCUUUGCUUCUGCACCGUAGUUGGUCUUUUAGUUCUUGCUAACUUUAUUUCUCUUUACUCCUAGCUUCUGGAAUGUCCCACAACUCUUAGUUCCUAGCUCACUUCAGAUGGUUGCCCAUACUAACAGAUUCCUCUAUUUGAUGACAUGCACAGGAUUCCCAGCUGGUCUCCUGUCUUCUCAGUGACCCAGACCUUCAGCAAGGCUGCUACAGGAUGUUUCUUCAGGUGCUGGAGAGAUUCAUCAAAGAAGAGGCCCAACCCCCUUUUCCUAAACUGCUACUUAUCCAAAUUGACAACAUUUCCACCACUUACCCUUGGAUAAUUCUUUAUUCCACAUAUCUGCUUUGCCACAUGUCACCAGGAACAGGAAAACAUGGCCAAGAACUGACAAUGUGAGGCACAGAUUUAUUUAUUUUUAAAGGAGGAGGAGAGGGUAAAUAAAAGUAGCAUCAUUAUUGUCUAAAGCCAUCAGCAUAAAGCAGCAGGAGAAUUAGCAUGAAUUAACAAGUUCUCCUAGGAUAUAGUGUAUAGAUAGUAGGAGUUGCCAACCUUUGUUGGCACAUUUGGAAUUUUGGAAAAGUGCCGUGGGUACCAAUAACAUGGAUGCUGUGGGGUGUGUGGCAUAAUACAAAACGAUGGCUGUGGGAGAGUAACAUUAAUACACAAUGGCUGCCGUGGAUCAUGACACAACACAAAAUGGCUGCCACAUCCAAGAGAGCGGAAAAAGAGGCAGGACCACAGAAUGAUGGGAGCAUGCCACCCUCAGCCCCUUCCCCACCAAUGGGAAAAGUCUCCUACAUCAUCUACCACCACACUCUCCUAAAGAAGCUCUUUGUCCCUCUCUUCUGUUCAUAGUGGAAAGAGGGUAGGUGCCCAGGCCCGGCAUCCAAUGAAACCUGGUCUUGUUAAGGGGUGUGUUCAAUAUGGGAGAGGCCAAGACAGUGGAAACAGGAAGACCAAUCUGUUUCUUGUGCAUUGUGGAUUUUUGAGUGGAUAUUUACUGAGACCUUUUGCAGGUGCCAUAGGAGGUACUGUUGUGCAUGGGUGCUGCAUUGGCAGUCCCUGGAAGGUACUGUAAGGCUGGGAAAUCUCAUGACUGGAGAUCAAAUGUGGCCCUCCAGGUCUCUCUGUCAAGCCUUUGGGAUUCUUCCCACACCAUACUUCCUACCUCAUCUACCCUGCAAUACCCUCCUUACUGGCCCUGCAAUACCCUCCUCAGUACUUUUGCCUGGAUGAAAUGUGUCCCUGAAUAAUGCCACUUUCUUGUCUGGCUGGAGGGUGGAAAUGUGAGUGUAGAAACCACUGACGUCUGUAUAGAUUGUAACCUACUGCACAGAGACCACAUCUGUUGUCUUGCCCACUUUUUGCCUCUGGCCUCACCCACUGCUCCAAAGCUUGCCCAUGAGGGAACACUGCCUUUAAGCUGAGAUGUUUUCCUCAUUCCUGGAGCAGAGAUAGAUCAAGUAGUGGGCUAUCAAUCAUUGCAGCUUCAUGGACUCCUUCAGGGAAGAGGUGUCCAAAGAGGGAAGAAGAUACCUUAGAGGAGAUUGAUGGGUUUAUUGUCUUAGAUCAGACAUAGGCAAACUCUGGCCCUCCAGAUGUUUGGGACUACAAUUCCCAUCAUCCCUGACCACUGGUC
Molecule: long non-coding RNA, 5714 nt
Organism: Podarcis muralis (Common wall lizard)
Lineage: Eukaryota; Metazoa; Chordata; Lepidosauria; Squamata; Lacertidae
Source: RefSeq, a predicted model, not a curated record